UGGCAUACCAGUAGACCUUGUCUGACUGUGCACGUAGCCAGGCAAGGGGGACAAUGUAUGCAAGAGUAAAUUUGGAGUUCAUGCCAGCUCUAACCAGCUGGAUCAGUAGCUGGAUAAAUUGCCAUACUCCGACAUGA
This is a small nucleolar RNA of Ochotona princeps (American pika), 137 nucleotides long. RefSeq annotates it as small nucleolar RNA SNORA58. The record is from RefSeq and is a predicted model, not a curated record. NCBI's taxonomy places the organism in Eukaryota, Metazoa, Chordata, Mammalia, Lagomorpha, Ochotonidae. The transcript has a single exon.